RNAcentral lists this ribosomal RNA (445 nucleotides) under uncultured bacterium. RNAcentral describes it as "partial 16S ribosomal RNA". It matches the Rfam family "Bacterial small subunit ribosomal RNA", at positions 338 to 794 of the family's 1533-position model. The record is from RNAcentral.
CCUACGGGAGGCAGCAGUCGAGAAUCAUUCACAAUGGGGGAAACCCUGAUGGUGCGACGCCGCGUGGGGGAAUGAAGGUCUUCGGAUUGUAAACCCCUGUCAUGUGGGAGCAAAUUAAAAAGAUAGUACCACAAGAGGAAGAGACGGCUAACUCUGUGCCAGCAGCCGCGGUAAUACAGAGGUCUCAAGCGUUGUUCGGCAUCACUGGGCGUAAAGCGUGCGUAGGCUGUUUCGUAAGUCGUGUGUGAAAGGCGCGGGCUCAACCCGCGGACGGCACAUGAUACUGCGAGACUAGAGUAGUGGAGGGGGAACCGGAAUUCUCGGUGUAGCAGUGAAAUGCGUAGAUAUCGAGAGGAACACUCGUGGCGAAGGCGGGUUCCUGGACAUUAACUGACGCUGAGGCACGAAGGCCAGGGGAGCGAAAGGGAUUAGAUACCCUUGUAGU